UACAGAGGGGGCAAGCGUUGUUCGGAAUUACUGGGCGUAAAGGGCGCGUAGGCGGCCUGUUAAGUCGGACGUGAAAUCCCCGGGCUCAACCCGGGAACUGCGUCCGAUACUGGCAGGCUUGAAUCCGGGAGAGGGAUGUGGAAUUCCAGGUGUAGCGGUGAAAUGCGCAGAUAUCGGGAAGAACACCCGUGGCGAAGGCGGCACUCUGGGACGGUACUGACGCUGAGACGCGAAAGCGUGGGGAGCGAACGAGG
This 254-nucleotide ribosomal RNA is filed under the name uncultured bacterium. RNAcentral's name for it is "partial 16S ribosomal RNA". It matches the Rfam family "Bacterial small subunit ribosomal RNA", at positions 524 to 777 of the family's 1533-position model. The record is from RNAcentral.